GACGAACGCUGGCGGCGUGCUUAACACAUGCAAGUCGAACGGAAAGGCCCUGCUUUUGUGGGGUGCUCGAGUGGCGAACGGGUGAGUAACACGUGAGUAACCUGCCCUUGACUUUGGGAUAACUUCAGGAAACUGGGGCUAAUACCGGAUAGGAGCUCCUGCUGCAUGGUGGGGGUUGGAAAGUUUCGGCGGUUGGGGAUGGACUCGCGGCUUACCAGCUUGUUGGUGGGGUAGUGGCUUACCAAGGCUUUGACGGGUAGCCGGCCUGAGAGGGUGACCGGCCACAUGGGGACUGAGAGACGGCCCAGACGCCUACGGGAGGCAGCAGUGGGGAAUAUUGCACAAUGGGCGGAAGCCUGAUGCAGCAACGCCGCGUGCGGGAUGACGGCCUUCUGGGUGUAAACCGCUGUCGCCUGUGACGAAGCGUGAGUGACGGUAAUGGGUAAAGAAGCACCGGCUAACUACGUG
This 468-nucleotide ribosomal RNA is filed under the name uncultured bacterium. RNAcentral's name for it is "partial 16S ribosomal RNA". It matches the Rfam family "Bacterial small subunit ribosomal RNA", at positions 28 to 507 of the family's 1533-position model. The record is from RNAcentral.